GCAUAAGCUUAUAUUUCAUACCAUAACAUUUCACAAGUUAUUCUUGGACAUAACUUCGAUUUCUACACAAUUUAGGUCCAAAAGACUUAAAACUCAAUCAAAACAUGCAAUUUUAUGUUUCUGACCCAUUACAAUGCCCAGGAUAGGAAAGUUGGAAAAUUUUCAAUAUCAGAUUAGCAAAUACAGCAGUAAGACAACAAGUGAUGACAAGCAACAAUUCUUUUGGAAGAGCUUUACAAUAUAACAUGAACCACAGGCAAAUAUUUCAGAUUUUUUUACCCAAGCAACUGCUCUUAAAUACAGGCUUAUAUGUAUCUCAAAGACGCUAUUCAACGUCGAGCCCAUAUCUAGAUAAAAGCUGUGGAAGGUUAUCCAGCAACAAGGUGAAGAGGGCACCAACAAAGAACAUUAGGACAAAUACAAGCAAUAUCUUUCCAAUGUAGAUAGGGCUUAGAGCAGCAGCUUGUGAUUUUCUCUUUGCAGAAUGUGAGUUGUCCAAAACCGGAGGCAUAUAUGCAGGUCUUGCUGCUGCGUAAUCAUCAGGCAUCCUUCUUGAAAAACCUUUUGUUGUCUCGGUGACUGGCUGCAAUUUCCAUCCUUUGCCAUAACUCACAAGAAUUGAAUUGGGGCCAAAAAUCACAGGCACUUCCCCAUCUUUAACAGCUUCAACAUAAGUUGCAGGUUGGUCUGCCGGGAUAGAAUCAACGCUACUACUAUUGAUAAAUUUCAGUGCGAAUUUUGCCUCUGUUCCAGCAGCAAAUCGCCAAGUCUUGCCGGUGCAUUUGCAAAUCACUUCCACAAAAGAUUGAGAUUGCUUCGUGGAUUGAUUGACUUCUGCUUCAUCCGUCUGCUCUGCCAUUAGAGAAGCCAUCAACCCACGAAGCAAUCUCAAUCU
This 895-nucleotide unclassified non-coding RNA is filed under the name Hevea brasiliensis (rubber tree). The record is from RNAcentral. Lineage: Eukaryota; Viridiplantae; Streptophyta; Magnoliopsida; Malpighiales; Euphorbiaceae.